Molecule: ribosomal RNA, 279 nt
Filed under: uncultured bacterium
Lineage: Bacteria
Description: partial 16S ribosomal RNA
Rfam family: Bacterial small subunit ribosomal RNA
Source: RNAcentral
UGCCAGCCGCCGCGGUGAUACGGAGGGUCCAAGCGUUAUCCGGAUUCAUUGGGUUUAAAGGGUGCGCAGGCGGAACUUUAAGUCAGUGGUGAAAUCUUGCCGCUUAACGGUGAAAUUGCCAUUGAUACUGAAGUUCUUGAAUAUGGUUGAGGUAGGCGGAAUGUGUUGUGUAGCGGUGAAAUGCAUAGAUAUGACACAGAACGCCAAUUGCGAAGGCAGCUUACUAAGCCAUGAUUGACGCUGAGGCGCGAAAGCGUGGGGAGCGAACAGGAUUAGAUA